UCGCAAUCCGCCAACCGGUCGAGCCGUAACGCGGAAGGUUUAUCAACCAGCCAAUUCCCUGGAAGCCGGGGUGAGAGGUGAGCG
Molecule: non-coding RNA, 84 nt
Filed under: uncultured Roseateles sp.
Lineage: Bacteria; Pseudomonadati; Pseudomonadota; Betaproteobacteria; Burkholderiales; Sphaerotilaceae
Description: SucA RNA motif
Rfam family: SucA RNA motif
Source: RNAcentral